Molecule: RNase P RNA, 390 nt
Filed under: Amycolatopsis cihanbeyliensis
Lineage: Bacteria; Bacillati; Actinomycetota; Actinomycetes; Pseudonocardiales; Pseudonocardiaceae
Description: Bacterial RNase P class A
Rfam family: Bacterial RNase P class A
About the family: Ribonuclease P (RNase P) is a ubiquitous endoribonuclease, found in archaea, bacteria and eukarya as well as chloroplasts and mitochondria. Its best characterised activity is the generation of mature 5'-ends of tRNAs by cleaving the 5'-leader elements of precursor-tRNAs.
Source: Rfam by way of RNAcentral
CGAGUUGGCAGGGCGGCCGCGGUAGCGCGCCACGGCGCGGUAUCGAGGAAAGUCCGGACUCCGCAGGGCAGGGUGGUUGCUAACCGCAACCCGGGGUGACCCGCGGGAAAGUGCCACAGAAAACAGACCGCCCCGCCGACGACGCGGGGUAAGGGUGAAACGGUGGUGUAAGAGACCACCAGCGUCCCGGGUGACCGGGACGGCUUGGUAAACCCCACCCGGAGCAAGGCCAAGAGGGAGCAACGCUCCUGCGCAGGCGUUCGAGGGCGGCCCGUCCGAUGCCUGCGGGUAGGCCGCUUGAGCCUGUCGGCAACGGCAGGCCGAGAUGGAUGGCCGCCCAUCGCGGUACCGCCGCGUGGACAGAAUCCGGCUUACAUGCCAACUCGCCCG